GCUACGGCCAUACCAGCCUGGGUACGCCCGAUCUCGUCUGAUCUCGGAAGCUAAGCAGGGUCAGGCCUGGUUAGUACUUGGAUGGGAGACCGCCUGGGAAUACCAGGUGCUGUAAGCA
RNAcentral lists this ribosomal RNA (118 nucleotides) under Salmo salar (Atlantic salmon). Lineage: Eukaryota; Metazoa; Chordata; Actinopteri; Salmoniformes; Salmonidae. The record is from RNAcentral.